AUCGCUUCUCGGCCUUAUGGCUAAGAUCAAAGUGUAGUAUCUGUUCUUAUCAGCUUAAUAUCUGAUACGCCCCGCAUGCGGGGCCAGUAUAUUAAACUGAUUUUUGGAAAUUGACGGAGGCUAGGGGCUUGCUCCACCUCCGUCGCGGGUUGGCCCGGCAUUGCAGUACAGUCGGGAUCGGCCCACCUAAU
This is a small nuclear RNA of Tribolium castaneum (red flour beetle), 191 nucleotides long. It matches the Rfam family "U2 spliceosomal RNA". From Rfam's summary of the family: U2 is a small nuclear RNA (snRNA) component of the spliceosome (involved in pre-mRNA splicing). Complementary binding between U2 snRNA (in an area lying towards the 5' end but 3' to hairpin I) and the branchpoint sequence (BPS) of the intron results the bulging out of an unpaired adenosine, on the BPS, which initiates a nucleophilic attack at the intronic 5' splice site, thus starting the first of two transesterification reactions that mediate splicing. The record is from Rfam. Lineage: Eukaryota; Metazoa; Arthropoda; Insecta; Coleoptera; Tenebrionidae.